This 62-nucleotide ribosomal RNA is filed under the name Rhodotorula sp. APSS 907. RNAcentral describes it as "partial 26S ribosomal RNA". It matches the Rfam family "Eukaryotic large subunit ribosomal RNA", at positions 44 to 105 of the family's 3401-position model. The record is from RNAcentral. Lineage: Eukaryota; Fungi; Basidiomycota; Microbotryomycetes; Sporidiobolales; Sporidiobolaceae.
CAAUAAGCGGAGGAAAAGAAACUAACAAGGAUUCCCCUAGUAGCGGCGAGCGAAGCGGGAAG